Molecule: ribosomal RNA, 490 nt
Filed under: uncultured bacterium
Lineage: Bacteria
Description: partial 16S ribosomal RNA
Rfam family: Bacterial small subunit ribosomal RNA
Source: RNAcentral
GAUGAACGCUAGCUACAGGCUUAACACAUGCAAGCCGCGGGGCAGCAUGGGGGUUGCUUGCAAUCCCCGAUGGCGACCGGCGCACGGGUGAGUAACGCGUAUCCAACCUGCCCUUCACCACGGGAUAACCCGGCGAAAGUCGGACUAAUACCGUAUGUUGUCCAUUGACGGCAUCCGAUUUGGACGAAAGGCUUGGCGGUGAAGGAUGGGGAUGCGUCCGAUUAGCUGGACGGCGGGGUGACGGCCCACCGUGGCGACGAUCGGUAGGGGUUCUGAGAGGAAGGUCCCCCACACUGGAACUGAGACACGGUCCAGACUCCUACGGGAGGCAGCAGUGAGGAAUAUUGGUCAAUGGGCGUAAGCCUGAACCAGCCAAGUAGCGUGCAGGAGGACGGCCCUAUGGGUUGUAAACUGCUUUUAUGCGGGGAUAAAGUGGCCCACGUGUGGGUUUUUGCAGGUACCGCAUGAAUAAGGACCGGCUAAUUCCGUG